RNAcentral lists this unclassified non-coding RNA (148 nucleotides) under soil metagenome. Its description in RNAcentral is "partial internal transcribed spacer 1". The record is from RNAcentral.
CCAAGUUUACAACUCCCAAACCCCUGUGAACAUACCUAUACGUUGCCUCGGCGGAUCAGCCCGCGCCCCGUAAAAAGGGACGGCCCGCCCGAGGACCCCUAAACUCUGUUUUUAGUGGAACUUCUGAGUAAAACAAACAAAUAAAUCA